GAGCGGCGGACGGGUGAGUAACGCGUGGGUAACCUGCCCUGUACACACGGAUAACAUACCGAAAGGUAUGCUAAUACGGGAUAAUAUAAGAGAGUCGCAUGGCUUUCUUAUCAAAGCUUUUGUGGUACAGGAUGGACCCGCGUCUGAUUAGCUAGUUGGUAAGGUAACGGCUUACCAAGGCGACGAUCAGUAGCCGACCUGAGAGGGUGAUCGGCCACAUUGGAACUGAGACACGGUCCAAACUCCUACGGGAGGCAGCAGUGGGGAAUAUUGCACAAUGGGCGAAAGCCUGAUGCAGCAGCGCCGCGUGAGCGAUGAAGGCCUUCGGGUCGUAAAGCUCUGUUCUCAAGGAAGAUAAUGACGGUACUUGAGGAGGAAGCCCCGGCUAACUACGUGCCAGCAGCCGCGGUAAUACGUAGGGGGCUAGCGUUAUCCGGAAUUACUGGGCGUAAAGGGUGCGUAGGCGGUCUUUCAAGUCAGAAGUGAAAGGCUACGGCUCAACCGUAGUAAGCUUUUGAAACUGUAAGACUUGAGUGCAGGAGAGGAGAGUGGAAUUCCUAGUGUAGCGGUGAAAUGCGUAGAUAUUAGGAGGAACACCAGUUGCGAAGGCGGCUCUCUGGACUGUAACUGACGCUGAGGCACGAAAGCGUGGGGAGCAAACAGGAUUAGAUACCCUGGUAGUCCACGCCGUAAACGAUGAGUACUAGCUGUCGGAGGUUACCCCCUUCGGUGGCGCAGCUAACGCAUUAAGUACUCCGCUUGGGGAGUACGCUCGCAAGAGUGAAACUCAAAGGAAUUGACGGGGACCCGCACAAGUAGCGGAGCAUGUGGUUUAAUUCGAAGCAACGCGAAGAACCUUACCUAAGCUUGACAUCCUUUUGACCUCUCCCUAAUCGGAGAUUUCCCUUCGGGGACAAAAGUGACAGGUGGUGCAUGGUUGUCGUCAGCUCGUGUCGUGAGAUGUUGGGUUAAGUCCCGCAACGAGCGCAACCCUUGCCUUUAGUUGCCAGCAUUAAGUUGGGCACUCUAGAGGGACUGCCAGGGAUAACCUGGAGGAAGGUGGGGAUGACGUCAAAUCAUCAUGCCCCUUAUGCUUAGGGCUACACACGUGCUACAAUGGGUGGUACAGAGGGCAGCCAAGUCGUGAGGCGGAGCUAAUCCCUUAAAGCCAUUCUCAGUUCGGAUUGUAGGCUGAAACUCGCCUACAUGAAGCUGGAGUUACUAGUAAUCGCAGAUCAGAAUGCUGCGGUGAAUGCGUUCCCGGGUCUUGUACACACCGCCCGUCACACCACGGAAGUUGGGGGCGCCCGAAGCCACUUAGCUAACCCUUUCGGGAAGCGAGUGUCGAAGGUGAAAUCAAUAACUGGGGUGAAGUCGUAACA
RNAcentral lists this ribosomal RNA (1382 nucleotides) under uncultured bacterium. RNAcentral's name for it is "16S ribosomal RNA". It matches the Rfam family "Bacterial small subunit ribosomal RNA". The record is from RNAcentral.